AGUGAACGCUGGCGGUAGGCCUAACACAUGCAAGUCGAACGGCAGCACAGUAAGAGCUUGCUCUUACGGGUGGCGAGUGGCGGACGGGUGAGGAAUACAUCGGAAUCUACUUUUUCGUGGGGGAUAACGUAGGGAAACUUACGCUAAUACCGCAUACGACCUACGGGUGAAAGCAGGGGAUCUUCGGAUCUUGCGCGACUGAAUGAGCCGAUGUCGGAUUAGCUAGUUGGCGGGGUAAAGGCCCACCAAGGUUACGAUCCGUAGCUGGUCAGAGAGGAUGAUCAGCCACACUGGAACUGAGACACGGACCAGACUCCUACGGGGGGCAGCAGUGGGGAAUAUUGGACGAUGGGCGCAAGCCUGAUCCAGCCAUACCGCGUGGGUGAAGAAGGCCUUCAGGUUGUAAAGCCCUUUUAUUAGGAAAGAAAAGCAGCAGGUUAAUACCCCGCUGUUCUGACGGUACCCAAAGAAUAAGCACCGGCUAACUUCGUG
This 492-nucleotide ribosomal RNA is filed under the name uncultured bacterium. RNAcentral describes it as "partial 16S ribosomal RNA". It matches the Rfam family "Bacterial small subunit ribosomal RNA", at positions 29 to 507 of the family's 1533-position model. The record is from RNAcentral.